Saimiri boliviensis boliviensis (Bolivian squirrel monkey) is the source of this 2424-nucleotide non-coding RNA. Lineage: Eukaryota; Metazoa; Chordata; Mammalia; Primates; Cebidae. The record is from RefSeq and is a predicted model, not a curated record.
GGACACUUAAGUGACUUAGAAACCCAUUCAGAGGUUACUCUGUUCCCUUCACACAACUCAGGCAUUUCCAUGUUGGUCUCAGCUGCCAUCUCAAUGGCUCAUUCUUUUUAUAUAUCAGAGCAAAUCUGGACCUCCCAAUAUGUUUUGGGGAGAAGUCGGCUUAGAGGGGUUUGCCUUGCUCUUUGAGAGAACGAGUUUAGCAAGCAUUAAUUUUUCUAAGAAGGUGGCAUAAGUUUUGAUGUGAUUUUCUGGAGAAUAGUCACAAUUUAUCUUAUUCCCCCAAGAGAAUGGGAUGAUGUUCCCAUAGAAUCUUGCUUAUCCUGCUAGCAGUAACUUGUAUUCUCUGAUUUAUACAAACAAGAAAUAGAGGGUGAUGGUGGGGGAAAUGAUACCAGGAAAUAGUUCGUUUUUUGCAGGGAUUCAGAAUGUGUCACUGGGCUUCAAGAUAGGAAGAAUCUUUGCCUUGAUGCUGAUGAAGGUAACCACCCCACCCACCAUCAUCUAUUAAGGAUUUACUGUGUGGUCACUUUAUAGUCAUCUAAGUAAAUUUCCAUAAUUACCUGAUAAGAUGGGUACCACUUUUCAGAAAAAGAAACAGAUUUCUGGAGAGUAAGUAACCCAGGUAGUACAGGUGGGCCAUCUGUCUGCAUGUCAAGCAUCAAGACAGCCUUUGGCCUUUGUGGGUGUUGUCAAAUGUGCUGGUCUCUGUCAUUAAUUCGUGGAGCUGCUCAUUUCCACAAACACCUAGGAUGCAGUAUGCACCCUCUGUUUCGAGUGAGGUCCUUGGACCAGCAGCAUGGCAGCAGCUGGCAGCUUGCCCUCGACGCAGAACGCCAGGCACUCCCUGGAGCUACAGCACGAGAUCCCCAGGUAGGGAUGUGCAUGUGCAUCUACGUUUUGAACCACACUCCUCUUUGCUACUACGGAAGAACAUAUCCUCUACUCUCCCUCCCCUUUGUCUCAUCUUGUCUGGUAAUUUUAAAUUAUUUAAAAGUAAGUUACAGAAAAUCAUAGUGUCUCAAAAUGGCUUACCAAGAAAUAUUCAAAGCUGUAAGAUCAGAAGCUUGAAAUGAAGAUUUCUAUGCAUCUUUGAAUUGUUCUACAGAAAUUAAAAAAAAAUCCAGACAUCUAAAAGAUGAUGAUUUUCAGAAUUCAUAGUAACAUGGUGUUCUUCAUGGUGUCGGAGCCAAGUUCUUGCUGAGGUUUGCACUGGGCUGUCCCCCAGGCAGCUGCAACACAGCACAGAGCCACCCUUGCUGUCUAAGCCUUGUCGCUGGAGGGGAAGAGGGAGGACCAAGCUGUCAACAGCCCCAGACCUGCCAAGCCCCAUUAGUCUGUGUGCCCGCCAGGAUUCUAAAACUCCUUUUGGGAAUUUUGACUUUUACUGAAUUGUGAAAUUCUGUGUAUAUAUAGCCUUGGUGAGCUGACCCAGUCAGGGAUGACUCUUCAUACACUUUGUCUUACAAGAUUCAGAAUCCAAGGCUACAGGAGGUAAUAAGGCCUUUGGGAGGGCCUGCCUCUCCUCCUCAGCUCCCCCCACCCCUCCCCAAUGUGUGGGUCUCCAUCCUGAGAUUUCUAUUCAGAUGACUCAGUCCUAGGCAGCAACCAAAAUUCCUUGUCAGCUGAGGAAGUCCUGAAGAAACAUCCUGAAGAUGAUGACUGCACUGCCACUGUGGGCAGAUGCAGCUUCCAUCUACCUGAGGGCUGAAGGGGAAUUCCUUUCACACACAGCUCUGAGGAAAGGUGACUAGAAUGGCCGCGGCAGCAAAUAGGGCUCCAAUGCACGUUCAGACUCAGCUGGGUGAGGAGAGCAGGGCCCUCCACAGCAAGCUUGCUCUACAGAAUCAAGUCCUGAGCUUGUUUUUAACUACAAUUAGACAGAGAAUGGUCUCAUGUUUCUCAGUUAUACAGGGAAGAACAGUGCAUAUUCUCUGUAGAUGAGUGUCAUCUAAUGUAGUGUUUUGUAUCUGCUAGUGUUAGGAAAUCUCCACUAUUUGGGUGGGUGGGUGUGUGUGUGCACGCACACACACACACAGAAGUCUUGACUUUCCAAUUACAAAAUGCCUAAGUCAGGUCACAAUGUCUUCUUCCAGCCAGUUUCUAAGGGAGGCAAUGGAAACAGGAGCUGAUGCCAAUGGUCAAGAGGCAGAAGGGCCGCAUGCUUUGCAGGGCCAGCUCCAAGGCUGCCUUCCAGAACUGCUCUUUCCCAGGGAACUCUCACUGCAGCCGCCAGCGCCCCCAUGCUCAGACGGGGGUUGCCCCUCACAUGGACUUGGAAUCAGUGUCUCUCUUGCUGAUGAGCACCUCCAGGAGCCUCAGUUUUGCCUUUAUGUGUUUGUAUUCACUGUAUUCUUCAGCCAUAGGAGUGCGGUCUUCCUUCUGGACAUUUCUAAUGGAAAUAAAGGAAAAGGGGUCUGAGGGUCA